AUGAACGCUAGCGACAGGCUUAACACAUGCAAGUCGAGGGGCAGCGGGGGUAGCGAUACCCGCCGGCGACCGGCGCACGGGUGAGUAACGCGUAUGCAACUUGCCUAUCAGAGGGGGAUAACCCGGCGAAAGUCGGACUAAUACCGCAUGAAGCAGGGGCCCCGCAUGGGGAUAUUUGCUAAAGAUUCAUCGCUGAUAGAUAGGCAUGCGUUCCAUUAGGCAGUUGGCGGGGUAACGGCCCACCAGACCGACGAUGGAUAGGGGUUCUGAGAGGAAGGUCCCCCACAUUGGUACUGAGACACGGACCAAACUCCUACGGGAGGCAGCAGUGAGGAAUAUUGGUCAAUGGCCGAGAGGCUGAACCAGCCAAGUCGCGUGAGGGAUGAAGGUUCUAUGGAUCGUAAACCUCUUUUAUAAGGGAAUAAAGUGCGGGACGUGUCCCGUUUUGUAUGUACCUUAUGAAUAAGGAUCGGCUAACUCCGUGCCAGCAGCCGCGGUAAUACGGAGGAUCCGAGCGUUAUCCGGAUUUAUUGGGUUUAAAGGGUGCGUAGGCGGCCUUUUAAGUCAGCGGUGAAAGUCUGUGGCUCAACCAUAGAAUUGCCGUUGAAACUGGGGGGCUUGAGUAUGUUUGAGGCAGGCGGAAUGCGUGGUGUAGCGGUGAAAUGCAUAGAUAUCACGCAGAACCCCGAUUGCGAAGGCAGCCUGCCAAGCCAUUACUGACGCUGAUGCACGAAAGCGUGGGGAUCAAACAGGAUUAGAUACCCUGGUAGUCCACGCAGUAAACGAUGAUCACUAGCUGUUUGCGAUACACUGUAAGCGGCACAGCGAAAGCGUUAAGUGAUCCACCUGGGGAGUACGCCGGCAACGGUGAAACUCAAAGGAAUUGACGGGGGCCCGCACAAGCGGAGGAACAUGUGGUUUAAUUCGAUGAUACGCGAGGAACCUUACCCGGGUUUGAACGCAUUCGGACCGAGGUGGAAACACCUUUUCUAGCAAUAGCCGUUUGCGAGGUGCUGCAUGGUUGUCGUCAGCUCGUGCCGUGAGGUGUCGGCUUAAGUGCCAUAACGAGCGCAACCCUUGCCACUAGUUACUAACAGGUAAAGCUGAGGACUCUGGUGGGACUGCCAGCGUAAGCUGCGAGGAAGGCGGGGAUGACGUCAAAUCAGCACGGCCCUUACAUCCGGGGCGACACACGUGUUACAAUGGCGUGGACAAAGGGAAGCCACCUGGCGACAGGGAGCGAAUCCCCAAACCACGUCUCAGUUCGGAUCGGAGUCUGCAACCCGACUCCGUGAAGCUGGAUUCGCUAGUAAUCGCGCAUCAGCCAUGGUGCGGUGAAUACGUUCCCGGGCCUUGUACACACCGCCCGUCAAGCCAUGGGAGCCGGGGGUACCUGAAGUCCGUAACCGAAAGGAUCGGCCUAGGGUAAAAC
RNAcentral lists this ribosomal RNA (1432 nucleotides) under uncultured organism. RNAcentral's name for it is "SSU rRNA". It matches the Rfam family "Bacterial small subunit ribosomal RNA". The record is from RNAcentral.